UACGGAGGGUGCAAGCGUUGUUCGGAAUUAUUGGGCGUAAAGCGCGCGCAGGCGGCCUUUUAAGUCUGAUGUGAAAGCCCACGGCUCAACCGUGGAAGGUCAUUGGAAACUGAAAGGCUUGAGUACAGAAGAGGAAAGCGGAAUUCCACGUGUAGCGGUGAAAUGCGUAGAGAUGUGGAGGAACACCAGUGGCGAAGGCGGCUUUCUGGUCUGUAACUGACGCUGAGGCGCGAAAGCGUGGGGAGCAAACAGG
Molecule: ribosomal RNA, 253 nt
Filed under: uncultured bacterium
Lineage: Bacteria
Description: partial 16S ribosomal RNA
Rfam family: Bacterial small subunit ribosomal RNA
Source: RNAcentral